Molecule: long non-coding RNA, 225 nt
Filed under: Phoenix dactylifera (date palm)
Lineage: Eukaryota; Viridiplantae; Streptophyta; Magnoliopsida; Arecales; Arecaceae
Description: long non-coding RNA (PDAC_LNC008563)
Source: RNAcentral
AGGGGGGCGGGGUGGAGGAAAGAAAUAGGGGAACCCCUGUUUCGGUGAAGAAAAAGAAGAAGAUAGCCGAGAGGGAACCAGAGAAAGAAAUAAAAAAGAGAGAGAGGGGGGGGAGAGAAUAUUUUGUGAUAUUUUGGGAAUAAUGGGAGGUGAAGGCUUUCAUUUGAAGAUGGGAGGUCGUCCGGAAGCCAUGCUCGGCUAAACAUCUAGUCUAGGGCUGGAUNN